UACGAAGGGGGCUAGCGUUGCUCGGAAUCACUGGGCGUAAAGGGUGCGUAGGCGGGUUUUUAAGUCAGAGGUGAAAUCCUGGAGCUCAACUCCAGAACUGCCUUUGAUACUGAAAGUCUUGAGUAUGGGAGAGGUGAGUGGAACUGCGAGUGUAGAGGUGAAAUUCGUAGAUAUUCGGAAGAACACCAGUGGCGGAGGCGGCUCACUGGACAAGUAUUGACGCUGAGGUGCGAAAGCGUGGGGAGCAAACAGG
RNAcentral lists this ribosomal RNA (253 nucleotides) under uncultured bacterium. RNAcentral describes it as "partial 16S ribosomal RNA". It matches the Rfam family "Bacterial small subunit ribosomal RNA", at positions 524 to 776 of the family's 1533-position model. The record is from RNAcentral.